UUCUGGACUCCAGAGACAAAGCACUAAACCAAACCUGCUGAUAUAAAAAGUGGAAUUUUUUUAAUGGACUGAUGGAAUCAUAACAACAGACGUUUUUUUCAACGUGAAGGUCAAAAGGUCACAUGUCCAUGUUUGGAUUAUGAUCUGAUGGACGACGACUCGUCUAAACUGAGGUGGGGAGCUUCCUCUGCUUCGGUCCCUCCUCCUCUUCUUCAUCUUCAUCUUUCUUCAGCUGACGAACGUGAAUUAAAACAACACUGGUUGGAAACACGCAGCUGAGACGUCUUCAGAUCAGAACUCUGAGGGGCAUCGUGAAUCAUCGUGUGUUUACGUGUUCCAGAUGUUUCCCAUGUUCAAACCACAACUUAUGACUGCACGUCUGGAGAGUAACACAUGGAAACAGAGGACAACAAGUUGAACUCAACCAACAACACUGAUCUGAAACAUGGGAACAACAACAAACACAACAACAACAACUCAUCGAUAUCAAGUUUACUCAAAUAAUUCUGUUCGACCACUGGGGUGAGUUUAUAAAUCUAUAUUUUUAAAGUAUCAUACUGUUAUUUUUUAUAUUGAGAAAAAUCGGUUAACUUGUGAAUUAUUUAGUAAAUCUUUGCAGAAGCAUUUAAAUUUUUUAUUUUCACUUCAGUAAAAACAAACGAGCUCGGAUGAGAACUCGUGUUUUGAGCUGAAACACGAGCGAAGCAGCAGAAAUGAAACUCAUCGCACACACCGACACUUUUUGGAUAAUUCUGAAUGUUUCUGAUUGUGUUUUUUAUGUUUGUUUUUUUAUCAGAACGCUGUAAAAUCUGUUAAAUCAUAAUCAUCUACCUCAGUGUUUGCUCUUUGUCGACAGAAGCUUUAAUGACGUCAUCUGAACACAGCCGUCAGACCUGAGGUUUUUAUGUCUCUGUGAUUUUCUGGUGCAACUAAAGUUGAAUAAUCGAUAAACUGCCGUUUAGUAAGUUAGAAAAAGAAAAUGUAUUAUCAUCAAAUGAACUGGGUUGUAUAAUCUUGGUUUUUUAUAUUUUCUUUGCACAUUUUAUUAACUUAUUUUUCAAAGUCAGUGUGAUUGAAUGUCAGUGAUAUUGAAUCAAAAGGCAAUAAUGUACUGCAGAUGGUUUCCUGCCAUCGAACCAAGGGGGCGGAGUCAGUUCCUCACAAAGCUUCAUAAGAUUUAAUCUUUACUGAAACAUAUCUUGACGAGCGAUGGUGUAAAUUCAGUUUACGGUUUUUAACUUUACUCAGAAAAACACAUUUGAAGUUGAUGAUGAUUUUUUUUGUGAGACACAAAGUUCAGACGAUUAAAGGAAAAGUUUCACAUUUUGGGAAAUCAUAUCCAGGUUAUGGAUAUUUGAACAACAGCACGACCUUUCCCCUUUCGUCGUUAAACAUGAGUUUGUCCACUCUCUGGUCGUCAGUGAGGAGAAGUGGAGGUUUGAGCCGUCGCUGGACGUGAGCUGCUGGUUGUUCUGCAUACUGUGUGUGCAUUAAUUAUAAUAUCAUUAAUAAUGACAGACUUCCACAAAUCCACCUCAAUCAGUUUUCAUCACAUCUUAUUCUCAUGCUUCAUCCUCAGACCUUUUCACCAAACUCUCUCAUUUCAUGUAGAGACGAGACAAAGCAACAGAGCGAGAGCUUCAGAGCUGAAGCUGCUUCCUGCUUUUCAUUUGCACCUUUUGAUUAUUGCCAUGUUUAUUUUGACAAUCCUCAAUUGUGAUCUAUUUUUGAUAAAAUAAAACUUCAAUCAGU
Molecule: long non-coding RNA, 1752 nt
Organism: Platichthys flesus (European flounder)
Lineage: Eukaryota; Metazoa; Chordata; Actinopteri; Pleuronectiformes; Pleuronectidae
Exons: 2
Source: RefSeq, a predicted model, not a curated record